RNAcentral lists this long non-coding RNA (199 nucleotides) under Panicum hallii. Its description in RNAcentral is "long non-coding RNA (PHAL_LNC000926)". The record is from RNAcentral. Lineage: Eukaryota; Viridiplantae; Streptophyta; Magnoliopsida; Poales; Poaceae.
ACCCAAGGAAGUUUGCGGUCCCGGCGAACAGCUCGACCCGCUCUUUCGACCGGGUCAGCGCGUCGAGCAAGGUCGGCGGCUGAGUCUCGGGCGUCGGCCACAGAAGCCGGAGCAACGGCGCGGCCGCCUCGCGCAGAGAUCUAAUCUCGGCGUCACAGGCGCUGACGGCCUCUUCAGCGGAAACUCUGCCGUGAUCCUC